Molecule: long non-coding RNA, 308 nt
Organism: Terrapene triunguis (Three-toed box turtle)
Lineage: Eukaryota; Metazoa; Chordata; Testudines; Emydidae
Exons: 3
Source: RefSeq, a predicted model, not a curated record
CUGCAUCUGACCCACUCUCCUCCUGCUCGGUUCCAGCAAGUCAAGUCGAUCGAGAGGUUCCUGCGCAGGCUGGAGUUCCAUGCCAGCAAGAUCGACGAGCUCUACGAGUCGUACUGCAUCCAGCGGCGGCUCCGCGAUGGGGCCCACAACAUGGUCAAGGCCUACACUGCCGGCUCCCCGGGCAGCCGCGAGGCACGGGACAGCCUGGCCGAGGCCAGCAAGGGCUACAAAGAGUACACCGAGAACAUGUGUCUGCUGGAGAGCGAGCUGGAGAGCCAGCUGGGGGAGUUCCACGUCAAGAUGAAAGG